Molecule: non-coding RNA, 97 nt
Organism: Acanthosepion pharaonis
Lineage: Eukaryota; Metazoa; Mollusca; Cephalopoda; Sepiida; Sepiidae
Source: the annotation of a GenBank genome assembly
UAAAACACUGGUCCCUAUACGAUCACUGAAGUUAAGCAACAUCAAGCCCAUUCAGUACCUAGAUGGGUGACUGCUUAGGAAUACCAGGUACUGUAAG